This 254-nucleotide ribosomal RNA is filed under the name uncultured bacterium. Its description in RNAcentral is "partial 16S ribosomal RNA". It matches the Rfam family "Bacterial small subunit ribosomal RNA", at positions 524 to 776 of the family's 1533-position model. The record is from RNAcentral.
CACGUAGGGUGCGAGCGUUGUCCGGAAUCAUUGGGCGUAAAGAGCUCGUAGGCGGCUUAGUAAGUCGGGUGUGAAAACCCCAGGCUCAACCUGGGGACGCCACCCGAUACUGCUAUAGCUAGAGUCCAGUAGGGGAGUGUGGAAUUCCCAGUGUAGCGGUGAAAUGCGCAGAUAUUGGGAGGAACACCAGCGGCGAAGGCGGCACUCUGGGCUGGUACUGACGCUGAGGAGCGAAAGCGUGGGUAGCGAACAGG